CCUACGGGUGUCUGCAGUGGGGAAUAUUGGACAAUGGGCGAAAGCCUGAUCCAGCCAUGCCGCGUGUGUGAAGAAGGCCUUCGGGUUGUAAAGCACUUUCAGUGGGGAAGAAAGCCUUGGGGCUAAUACCCUCGAGGAAGGACAUCACCCACAGAAGAAGCACCGGCUAACUCCGUGCCAGCAGCCGCGGUAAUACGGAGGGUGCGAGCGUUAAUCGGAAUUACUGGGCGUAAAGCGCGCGUAGGCGGUCUGAUAAGCCGGUUGUGAAAGCCCCGGGCUCAACCUGGGAACGGCAUCCGGAACUGUCAGGCUAGAGUGCAGGAGAGGAAGGUAGAAUUCCCGGUGUAGCGGUGAAAUGCGUAGAGAUCGGGAGGAAUACCAGUGGCGAAGGCGGCCUUCUGGACUGACACUGACGCUGAGGUGCGAAAGCGUGGGUAGCAAACAGGAUUAGAUACCCUGGUAGUC
Molecule: ribosomal RNA, 465 nt
Filed under: Vreelandella stevensii
Lineage: Bacteria; Pseudomonadati; Pseudomonadota; Gammaproteobacteria; Oceanospirillales; Halomonadaceae
Description: partial 16S ribosomal RNA
Rfam family: Bacterial small subunit ribosomal RNA
Source: RNAcentral